UGGGCGUAAAGCGGGCGCAGACGGUUACUUAAGCAGGAUGUGAAAUCCCCGGGCUCAACCUGGGAACUGCGUUCUGAACUGGGUGACUAGAGUGUGUCAGAGGGAGGUAGAAUUCCACGUGUAGCAGUGAAAUGCGUAGAGAUGUGGAGGAAUACCGAUGGCGAAGGCAGCCUCCUGGGAUAACACUGACGUUCAUGCCCGAAAGCGUGGGUAGCAAACAGGAUUAGAUACCCUGGUAGUCCACGCCCUAAACGAUGUCGAUUAGCUGUUGGGCAGCUUGACUGCUUAGUAGCGAAGCUAACGCGUGAAAUCGACCGCCUGGGGAGUACGGUCGCAAGAUUAAAACUCAAAGGAAUUGACGGGGACCCGCACAAGCGGUGGAUGAUGUGGAUUAAUUCGAUGCAACGCGAAGAACCUUACCUGGUCUUGACAUGUACGGAACCCUCCAGAGACGGAGGGGUGCCUUCGGGAGCCGUAACACAGGUGCUGCAUGGCUGUCGUCAGCUCGUGUCGUGAGAAG
This 520-nucleotide ribosomal RNA is filed under the name uncultured bacterium. Its description in RNAcentral is "bacterial SSU rRNA". It matches the Rfam family "Bacterial small subunit ribosomal RNA", at positions 555 to 1074 of the family's 1533-position model. The record is from RNAcentral.